This 7408-nucleotide long non-coding RNA is filed under the name Malus domestica (apple). RNAcentral's name for it is "long non-coding RNA (MDOM_LNC007862)". Lineage: Eukaryota; Viridiplantae; Streptophyta; Magnoliopsida; Rosales; Rosaceae. The record is from RNAcentral.
CCCUAAGAGUGUACUAUCACGUUGGACUAGUUUUAGGGCCUAAAAACUACGAAAUCUCACCUUGCAAAAACCAAAGAUUUCGGCCAAACUUGAAACCUACGAUCCCGACGUCCAAAACUCUCCAACGAAUGUCCCCGAGCUUCCUUAGGACCUCCUAAAGCUCACCACAAGCUUGAAACCUCCUGAAACACAACAUUUUACGUUCGCAUGAACAGUACCUCGAAAAUGGAGGUUCGGGAUCUACGUGAAAUCAAAGGUUUCACUUCCUAAAACUAGCACCAAUGAACUCAGGACGUCAAAACGAUGAAGAUACAUACCUUAUUUGCCCCGAUCCGUUGAGUUUCGAAGGGUUUUGGGUGAAGGUCCGUACGAUAUGGGUGUGUGUGUGUGAAGUCGAGAGAGAGAGACAGAGACAGGGAAAGCACAGGGAAAGGAGAGGGAGAGAGGAAGGUCAUGUGUGGUCCAAAUUAAUCCACACCCUCCAUUUCAUCCUAACCAAACAUACCAAAAAUCAAUUUCCAAUAAAAUCCCAUCCAACCAAUGCUAUUUUCAAAAUAACGCUAUGUACCUACGUACCUUAAUGUCCAAUAAGGGCAAUUCUGUCAUUUCACAUUCCCGUCAAAAGUACCUCCGGGACGGGCUGUGACAAUCUCCCCUCCUUAUAGAAUUUCGUCCCCGAAAUUCCCAUAACCAAAUAAAUCAAUUAAUACUCGUAAAAUAACCUUGGGUACACCUCUCUCAUCCGGUCUUCCGUCUCCCAAGUAGCUUCCUCUGCAGAAUGGUUCCUCCACAACACCUUGACCAAACUCACCGUCUUGUUCCUUAGAACCUUAUCUUUCCAAUCCAAGAUAGUGACCGGUUCCUCAUCAUACGUCAAAUCCGGAUUAAUCUCUAACGGUUGAGGAGGGAUCACAUGAGAAGGAUCAGAAAUAUAAUGCCGAAGCAUAGAGACGUGGAACACAUUAUGGACCUUAGACAACUCCGGAGGCAAUUCCAACCGGUAGGCAACUUCACCAACUCUUUCAAUGAUCACAUAAGGUCCAAUAUAUCUCGGACUUAGCUUCCCUCUUUUCCCAAAUCGUACCACACCUCUCCAAGGCGACAAUUUCAAGAAUACCCAAUCACCCACAUCAUACACUCGAUCAGUAGUAUGCCGAUCCGCUAAACUCUUAUGUCGAUCCUGGGCUGCUUUCAGGUUUGACUUAAUUACCUGAACAUUUUGAGUCAUCUCAUCCACGAUCUCGGGGUCUUCUAAUACCCGUUCACCAACCUCAGACCAACAUAAUGGCGUUCGACACGCCCUACCAUAAAGUGCCUCGAAUGGGGACAUACCAAUGCUCGAGUGAAAACUGUUAUUAUAAGCAAACUCCAUUAAGUCCAGACGAUCAUGCCAAGAAUCACCAAAUUGUAAUACCGAAGAUCUCAACAUAUCUUCCAACGUCUGAAUGGUCCUCUCUGAUUGCCCAUCAGUUUGAGGAUGAUAAGCUGUGCUAUACAGUAAUUGAGUACCCAGAGCUUCCUGAAAAGCCACCCAAAAUUUAGAAGUAAACCUCGGGUCUCGAUCGGAGAUAAUAUUUACUGGGACUCCCAUGAUACUUGACAAUCUUCGAAAUAAACAACUUAGCCAAUUUAUUCAGAGGGUAUUUCUCCCUCACUGGAAUGAAAUGCGCCGACUUGGUGAGUCGAUCCACAAUCACCCAAAUACCAUCAAAUCCAUUUCGCGUACGAGGAAGUUUAUACACGAAAUCCAUGGUUAUAUUUUCCCAUUUCCACUGGGGAACAGGAAGGGGUUGCAUUCGCCCAAAGGGCUUCUUCCUUUCUGCUUUCACUUGCUGGCAAAUAAUACACCUGCUCACAUAUUCUGCAAUUUCUCUUUUCAUACCCGGCCAAUAAUAAAAUGGUCGAAUGGUAUGAUACAUUUUUGUUCCUCCCGGAUGCAUCGCAUAAGCUGAACAAUGUGCUUCAUCCAAAAUUUCCUUCUUCAAUUCCUCAUUAUUCGGAACAUACAUUCUGUCUUCUUGCAUGAGCAUACCAUCUGAUUCCCGAAUUCUGAGGUCUUUCUUUUUUCCCUUCACUUCUUAACUGAACCAACUCCUGAAUUUCUUCAUCCACCAUUUGAGAUGCAAGUAUACGCUCCACCAAAACUGGCCUGACUUGAAAACUAGCAAGAAAUGCUCCACCUUGAUUCUCCCACUCCAAUCUUACUCCAGUUGCCCUCAGUUCAGCAAGAAGAGGAACACGACUAGCAUAUAGGGCAUUAAGUCUACCUUGUGGUUUCCUACUCAGUGCAUCCGCUACUACAUUAGCACGACCUGGAUGGUAUUCAAUAGAACAAUCAUAAUCACUUAGCAAUUCCAUCCACCUUCGCUGACGAAGAUUAAGAUCAUGCUGGGUGAAUAAGUACUGAAGACUCUUAUGAUCAGUGAAGAUCUUACACUUCUCACCAUACAAAUAAUGUCUCCAAAUUUUCAAAGCAAAAACAAUUGCUGCCAAUUCAAGAUCGUGAGUAGGAUAGUUCCUUUCAUGAUUUUUCAACUGCCUAGAAGCAUAGGCAAUCACCUUAUUAUGCUGCAUCAAAACACAUCCCAAACCAUUUAAUGAAGCAUCACUAUAUAUCUCAAAAUUACCGCUAUCGUCGGGAAGUACCAACACCGGUGCAUGAGUGAGGCAAUACUUCAAUUGUUGAAAACUCCGCUCACAAUUCUCAUCCCACUCAAAUUUAACAUCCUUCCUGGUCAACUUUGUCAACGGUAAAGCAAUCAUAGAGAAAUCCUGAACGAACCGUCGAUAAUAACCUGCUAAGCCAAGAAAGCUUCGUACCUCCGUGACGGUUCGAGGUUGCUCCCAAUUCUCCACUGCUGCAAUCUUUUGAGGAUCAACUUGAAUACCUUGAGCUGAUACAACAUGCCCCAAAAAUGCCACUUCAGUCAACCAAAACUGACAUUUACUGAACUUGGCAUACAACUGAUGCUCCCUUAAUUUCCCUUAACACCAAAUUAAGGUGUCGGAUAUGAUCUGCUUGGGACUUAGAGUAUACCAGAAUAUCGUCAAUAAAAACAAUAACGAAUUUAUCAAGAUAUUUCUGGAAUACCUCAUUCAUUAAUCUCAUAAAAGCUGCAGGUGCAUUAGUCAACCCAAACGGCAUAACCGAAAAUUCAUAAUGUCCGUACCGAGUUCGGAAAGCCGUCUUAGGUACAUCAUCUUCUUUAAUCUUCAAUUGAUAAUAUCCAGAUCUCAAAUCAAUCUUAGAAAAUACACAUGCACCUUUCAGCUGAUCGAACAAAUCAUCAAUGCGAGGCAAUGGAUAACGGUUUUUAAUCGUUACCCGGUUCAAUUGUCUAUAAUCAAUACACAAUCGAAAAGUUCCAUCCUUCUUUCUCACAAAUAAUACUGGGGCACCCCAAGGUGAAGAACUAGGUUGAAUAAAACCUUUAUCAAGUAAUUCUUGCAACUGGAUUUUUAAUUCCCUCAACUCAGCAGGAGCCAUUCUAUAAGGAGUCAGAGAUAUAGGGUCCGUACCUGGAAGCAAAUCAAUAGAGAAUUCCACCUCCCUGUCUGGUGGUAAUCCCGGCAAAUCAUCAGGGAAUACAUCCGGAUAAUGUCUGACCACACCAACUUCUUCCAUACUAGUAGGAGCAACAUCAUUUAAUACCACAUGUGCCAAAUAUCCCUGACAACCAUUCGAUAAUAAUUUCCUCGCCCUUAUGGCAGAAAUAACUCCAUGUCUCACCCCACUUCUCUCGCCCACAAAAGUAACCUCGGGUAAUCCAGGACGAUAAAAAGUAACUGAUUUACCAUAACAAUCAAUAUGGGCACGAUUAUGGUGUAACCAAUCGGCCCCUAAAAUCACAUCAAAAUCCACAAUAUCUAACGGAAUAAGAUCAGCGGACAUAAUCACGCCCUCAACCAUCACUGGACACCCCAGAUACACACUAUCCACAUAACAUUUAUCUCCUCUAGGCAUGGCAAACUCUAAAUCAAAUCCUAGAGGUGAAGGGUGAGGUUGGGUUAUUUGAGCAAACGUAUGAGAAAUCACAGAGUGCGUAGCACCACAAUCAAUCAAAACCUUAGCAAAAUGACCAAGAACAUUUAACGUACCCAUAAUCAAGUCUGGAUGGUUCUGAGCCUCCUGCAAGGAAAUAUGAUUAAUUCGCCCCUGAGCCUGCUGUCGUCCACCUCGGCCUCUAUUGCCCUGAUUACCUCGUCCCCGAGGAUUACGUCCCUGGCCUGGCUGACUAGGCUGCCUGGAUGAUCCUGCACCACCAGUAGCAACUUCCCCCUGACGGGGCUGGCCUCCCUGAUGCCACUGCGAUCCACCAGCUGGCAUAGAGGAAUAAGAUGAAUAACCUCCAAAAUCCUGAGAAUAUCCAGCCUGAGAGUAAGGCUCCUGGGAAUACUGAUAAGGUCCGGGAGCAUACGGAGCAGCAUCCCCCUGAUAGUGGUAAGCACCACCACGACUCGGCUGGCCAUAACCACCCGGUCCCAAAUUCUGCUGAACUGGUGCUGGAGGUGGUAUAGUGGUCUGCUGUGGUCUCUGUUGACCCUGGGGGCACUGAGAAACCCGAUGUCCCAUCUGCCCACACGUAAAGCAGGCACCAGUACCUCUCCUACACUCACCAUGGUGACGGAAGUUACAACGGCGGCACCAUGGAGCGCCAGAUCCACCAGCAUCCCUCUGACCCUGAAAUCUGGGUCCACCAGAAAAUCUUCCACCACCUCUCCUCGGGCUAGUAAAACUAUAUCCCCCACUAGAAGAGCUCGAACUCACUCCACUCUUCUUAAAAUUCUGAGUCUGUCGAGGUCCAGGAAUAGAAAUACCCUUACCUUUGUCAUUCUUCUUCUGACCCUCAUUCUUGUCCUCGUCAUCCUCACUGUCAGGAAGAUUAUCAGAGUCCUCCAUCCUAACCAGAAUCUCGAAAUACUCAUGAUAAUCAGCGCAGGGGAGUGCAUUGGCAAAGGUACGCCACUUCUUCUUAGAUCCCAACUUGAAACGUCGAAGCAUCUCUCCCUGAUUACCAGCUGUAUCAGUGUCAUAACGAGACAAAUCAGUAAACUUUCUAUAAUACUCAUGUGCCGACAUAUUUCUCUAUUUCAACCUGGUGAAUUCCUGCUUCUUACGGUCAAUAUACUCAGGAGGAACGAAUCUCUUCAUAAAAUGCUCCUUGAAUACUUUCCAGUCGGCUGCCGUCUCAGGUGACAUGUACCUAGCCUGAUUCAUCCACCAUGCUGCUGGUUCACGACCCAGAAACCAAGUGGUGGUCUCCACCCACCUAUUAGCAGGGAGAUUCCCCUGACUCUGCAUCACCUGGAAGGUUUUCUCAAUAUGAUCAAGCCAUUUCUCUGCCCCCUCAUGACUUUCAUUACCCAUAAACCGAUCUAACUUCAAGUUGUACAUGGUCUCCAGAGGUGUCCUCGGAGGAGGGGGAGGACGAAUCACAUUCUGUAAAGCCUGGGCCAUCGCUUCCCCUAACUGAGUAAUAUCCGGGAAAUUAGGUUCAGAAGUACGGCGGGACUCUCUACGCUCUCUACGAGGCGGCAUGAUUCUGACAGAAAACAUCAAAAGAUCGUUAAGACAUUAACAAAUUUACAGGACUGCAACCUAGGCUCUGAUACCAAACUGACACACCCUGAUCCGGAGGAUCCAGGUGUGCUGGCCGUCACGUGGGCGUGACGUAACCAUAAGCACGACACGGAAGCGUAAUAACAACAUAUAACAACAGAAAUUCAAACCAAACUUAACAUAACCACAUACGGACAUAACCGGACGAGUUUACAAGUAACCACAUAAGUUCAGAGCAUAGGUUAUCUGCAGUCAAGUAGGACUAAAAUAAGAAUACAUCACCCUCAGGUGAGUCCUACAUGUCCCAAAUCUGUCAGAAAGCCGGAAAGGACCUCGUGAGCCAACCACCGCUAAACUAGAACCUGGAGGGGCGCAAAACAAAAUGAGUGGGUCAGUAAAACAAAUUAGUUUUCCAAAACAUUUCAUUAAAACAAUUAUAUCCCCUCGCCGUAAAAACCUGUAUACUUUCCCAGAAAUAUAUAACCAUAUAAAAUCUCAACAUUUAAAAUCUCAAAUCUUUAACAUUUUCAAGAAACAUGCCAUGCCAUAAAUCAAAAUAUAAAUCAGGUGAAAUAAGGAAUCAAUCGGAGACCCUGCAGUUGGUCCUAUACGAUUAAUUCAAUAGCUCAAAUCCCACUAAGCCGGAGUCACCACAGUGACCUAUACGGCCCUACUCUGCACAUCACUCGGAACUACGUAAGGUAGUCUAUACGAUGAAAGGUGUAAAAAUACGCUCUAGUGCUUCUCUCAUCAUAUCAUCAGCGCGCAUAACUAAGGUCACCCACUAGUCGGAAUCACGCCUAGUGAUCUGUACGACUAGCAUGUCGGAACCCUCACAUGGUCUGUACGACAUCCACCUACUUGGAUCCAAGGCGAGCGUGCGGUGUGGUGAAUAAAAUAAGCACUAACACCUAGGGUGCAGAUUAUGAGCUCAAAUUAUAUCAACAUCAACCAAUUCAAUGCAUAAAUGAACUCACCUGACUUACCUUUGCCUCCACAGCACCAUGCAAUAUGUAUGCAUCAUAUAUCAAUCAUAUAAUUCAUAAACCAAUCCAUGAUUUUCAAAUAAUUCUAUGCAUGGCAUGUUCAAAACAUAUUUUCAUAUAAAACAUUUUCUGGGAAAAACAGUAGUAUAUAGGUAAUACGAAAACAAAACUGCCCACUCACUGAUAAGUCGACGGGUCGUAACCCCCGUGGCGUCCCUGGAUGCGGUCGUCCUCGGGAUACGUCUCACCUAUAUGCGAAACAACUAUAAAAUCAUUAAUUUUAAGCAUAUCACCAAUAAUUCGAAAUAACUUCUCAUACGAUGCUCAAUUUUGGUAUAUGAAUAUACCACAUCGACCUACUCGACGUCACGAGCGUCGAGAAAUUUUCAGAAAAAAUUUUGGAAGCCCCACGCCCCCACGCGCCACACGUGGCACGGGUCCACGCGCUGGCCACGCGCAGCACGUGCAGCGCACGUGUCGUCUUCUUCGCAGGGCCUCGCCGGACUGGUUCUCCGGUGGCCGGACUCCGGCCGAACUCCGGCCGAUUUUCAAACUCACUGUUCUCCUUCGUUUUUUCACCCAUUUUCUUCGUAUUUUAUACCAAAUUGAAGCCCUAAGAGUGUACUAUCACGUUGGACUAGUUUUAGGGCCUAAAAACUACGAAAUCUCACCUUGCAAAAACCAAAGAUUUCGGCCAAACUUGAAACCUACGAUCCCGACGUCCAAAACUCUCCAACGAAUGUCCCCGAGCUUCCUUAGGACCUCCUAAAGCUCACCACAAGCUUGAAACCUCCUGAAACACAACAUUUUACGUUCGCAUGAACAGUACCUCGAAAAUGGAGGUUCGGGAUCUACAUGAAAU